This 492-nucleotide ribosomal RNA is filed under the name uncultured bacterium. RNAcentral's name for it is "partial 16S ribosomal RNA". It matches the Rfam family "Bacterial small subunit ribosomal RNA", at positions 29 to 507 of the family's 1533-position model. The record is from RNAcentral.
AGUGAACGCUGGCGGUAGACCUAACACAUGCAAGUCGAACGGCAGCACAGUAAGAGCUUGCUCUUACGGGUGGCGAGUGGCGGACGGGUGAGGAAUACAUCGGAAUCUACUUUUUCGUGGGGGAUAACGUAGGGAAACUUACGCUAAUACCGCAUACGACCUACGGGUUAAAGCAGGGGAUCUUCAGACCUUGCGCGAUUCAAUGAGCCGAGGUCGGAUUAGCUAGUUGGCUGGGUAAAGGCCCACCAAGGCGACGCUCCGUAGCUGGUCUGAGAGGAUGAUCAGCCACACUGGAACUGAGACACGGUCCAGACUCCUACGGGAGGCAGCAGUGGGGAAUAUUGGACAAUGGGCGCAAGCCUGAUCCAGCAAUACCGCGUGAGUGAAGAAGGCCUUCGGGUUGUAAAGCCCUGUUGUUGGGAAAGAAAAGCAGCAGGUUAAUACCCCGCUGUUCUGACGGUACCCAAAGAAUAAGCACCGGCUAACUUCGUG